AUUGAACGCUGGCGGCAGGCCUAACACAUGCAAGUCGGACGGUAGCACAGAGGAGCUUGCUCCUCGGGUGACGAGUGGCGGCCGGGUGAGUAAUGCCUGGGGAUCUGCCCGAUAGAGGGGGAUAACCACUGGAAACGGUGGCUAAUACCGCAUAACGUCGCAAGACCAAAGAGGGGGACCUUCGGGCCUCUCACUAUCGGAUGAACCCAGAUGGGAUUAGCUAGUAGGCGGGGUAACGGCCCACCUAGGCGACGAUCCCUAGCUGGUCUGAGAGGAUGACCAGCCACACUGGAACUGAGACACGGUCCAGACUCCUACGGGAGGCAGCAGUGGGGAAUAUUGCACAAUGGGCGCAAGCCUGAUGCAGCCAUGCCGCGUGUAUGAAGAAGGCCUUCGGGUUGUAAAGUACUUUCAGCGGGGAGGAAGGCGAUGUGGUCAAUAACCGCGUCGAUUGACGUUACCCGCAGAAGAAGCACCGGCUAACUCCGUGCCAGCCGCCGCCGUAA
RNAcentral lists this ribosomal RNA (506 nucleotides) under uncultured bacterium. RNAcentral describes it as "partial 16S ribosomal RNA". It matches the Rfam family "Bacterial small subunit ribosomal RNA", at positions 29 to 523 of the family's 1533-position model. The record is from RNAcentral.